AACCCAUGGUGAAGGCACAUUCUCAACAGAUCCUUGUAUCUCUCCCAUGCAUCGUAGAGUGUUUCUAGAUUCAUCUGCAUAAAAGAGGAGAUAUCAUUACAUAAUUU
Molecule: small nucleolar RNA, 107 nt
Filed under: Gossypium arboreum
Lineage: Eukaryota; Viridiplantae; Streptophyta; Magnoliopsida; Malvales; Malvaceae
Description: Plant small nucleolar RNA R71
Rfam family: Plant small nucleolar RNA R71
About the family: R71 is a member of the C/D box family of snoRNAs containing the C (UGAUGA) and D (CUGA) box motifs.
Source: Rfam by way of RNAcentral